CUGAUCUGUGUGGUUCUGACCAGGAAGCCUCAUCCUUACUGAGCAGGGAGAGCACAGGCAAGUGCAUUCAAAAUCCACCCUUUUUAAUCAUAUGACAACCCUAAGGAAUAGGCAUGAACCGCACCCUGGUUCUUGUUGGGGUUGUGCUGGGGCUCACACUACCAGAUAGUUACUGCAGCCCUGUGGUGUGUGAGGGCUGGCUGUGUCCUGCCGGUCCAGUUCUGCUGCUGCUGCCCUCCAGGAAGCCAGCGAGGGAGAGCCCAUCAAAGGUCAGCCUUCAUCUGGCAGGGAUGCAUCCUGGCCACCUGAGUAAAGGAAAACUCUUACCGGAGAAGACCCAUUUACCUUCAACAAUCUUGAAGAGUAUCACUUGUCUUGGGCCUUUCGAAUGCAUAUUAUUCUGGAACUUUUGUACCAGCUAAGGCUAUUACUGAACUUUUAACAUGGCUGUACUGUCUAGAUGAGAUUUCAUAGCCCAGGGCCCUGAGGACAGGCAGGACUUCCAAGAAGGUAGAGCUUUUUCUUAGAAAGCUUUGAAUAGCGCUGCUUCCUCUCAUGGAUUUUUGAAGUCGCUACUGGUCAUCCAAGAUAAUUUGAAUACAAAACCAUAUGAAAAAUCUCCCGCUCUCAAAGUGUUUUGUAAGGAGUUAACAUGUAAAUGUAAACUUCCUCCUAUGGUAAACAUUUACAAUGAAUCAGAGAGAUCUGUAGUGGGUGCAAGUUGAGCUCAAUAGAUGUAUGAGAAUUUAAAUGCACUGCCAACCUGACUGGUUCUCCAGUGUGUAGUCUUAUCUACAGUGAGGUAAAUGAGAUUUUUACUAACGAAAGAUGUGGGAACAAUCCUGGACCCCCAAACAGCCAUAGCUCAGUCCUCAACACCUUGUGCGUUCUCUUUUCAGCCACUGCUUGCUUUAAGACUUAAAAUCUUAAAAUGUUCUAUCAAAGCCCUUUUUGAUAUAUUGCUGAAAAGACUUCUGCCUCUCUUGAGCUGAAUGGCAGGCAGUGAAGAUAUAGAGACCAGAUAAUAAAUAUUAAGAUUUUUUAAAAUACAUGAUUGUUGAAUGAAGACAUUCCAAAUUCUCCUGCGUUGAUUGUUUCUUGUGUUAUUAUCUGAAUGUUAAAUAAAUCUUUUUUGAUUGAUAAAUCUUGAUGAUGAUAAAUCUGGAUAAAUCUUUUGAUGUCUUCCAUUUCAUAACAAUAAAGCUAUUUCCAAUG
Molecule: long non-coding RNA, 1215 nt
Organism: Grus americana (Whooping crane)
Lineage: Eukaryota; Metazoa; Chordata; Aves; Gruiformes; Gruidae
Exons: 3
Source: RefSeq, a predicted model, not a curated record